RNAcentral lists this transfer RNA (76 nucleotides) under Candidatus Komeilibacteria bacterium RIFCSPHIGHO2_01_FULL_52_14. Its description in RNAcentral is "tRNA-Lys". It matches the Rfam family "tRNA". Rfam says of the family: Transfer RNA (tRNA) molecules are approximately 80 nucleotides in length. Their secondary structure includes four short double-helical elements and three loops (D, anti-codon, and T loops). RNAcentral also lists the same sequence under 1 other name. The record is from RNAcentral. Lineage: Bacteria; Candidatus Komeiliibacteriota.
GGGUCCAUAGCUCAGUCGGUAGAGCAGUUGCCUUUUAAGCAAACGGUCGCAGGUUCGAUUCCUGCUGGACCCACCA